Artibeus jamaicensis (Jamaican fruit-eating bat) is the source of this 467-nucleotide long non-coding RNA. RefSeq lists it as uncharacterized. The transcript has 3 exons. The record is from RefSeq and is a predicted model, not a curated record. NCBI's taxonomy places the organism in Eukaryota, Metazoa, Chordata, Mammalia, Chiroptera, Phyllostomidae.
AGUCGGGCCCUGCAAGAGUUUCCUGAGCACUUCCGGUGUGCCAGGCACAGCGCUAGGCAUAGAGGACACAGCAGGGACCCCUUUACUUGCAUUCGGGGAGACAGGUGGUAAACAAGAGUGCACAGGAGCCAACCCAUGGGGAUUAAGAAGGAAGCUGUCCUUCAGCACUUUGUGUGGAAAAUGAGAAAACACGGUGUGGAGAUGGUCUUUGCUGCGCUGUGACCGGAAGGCCAGGGUGCUGUCCACCUUCUGCAUCCCACCUGGACAGAGGCAGGAACUCCAGGGCCCAGGUGUGGUGCGUGACCUCCUCACGGUCCUGAGCCUGGGGCCCCACCCUGCUGACUCUCAGCCAAGACUUUUCCACUGCCCUCUAUGGAGGCAGGGUAAAGUCCAGAGUCCUCAACGUGCCUACAAGAACACUGGAAUCUAACCCUGCACGCUCUCCCAGCCCCAACUCUCCGCCCCCC